UAAAGCUACAAAGAGCUAAUGGGGAAUGCCUUGGUACUGACAGCCGACGAAGGACGUGUAAAGCUGCGAUAAGCCACGGGGAACUGCUAAAAGGUCUUGAUCCGUGGAAAUCCGAAUGGGGAAACCCUCCAGAGUUAAAACUUUGGAACCCGUAACUGAAUACAUAGGUUGCGCGGAGGAAAGCCUGUGAACUGAAACAUCUUAGUAACAGGACGAAGAGAAAAUAAACCAAUGAUUCCGAGAGUAGCGGCGAGCGAAAUUGGAAGAGCCUAAAUUGUGUGUACGUGAUAGCCUGCAAGCGUUGUGCACAUGAGGUUGUGGGACUUGCAUCAUAUUUUGCAGAAUAUGGAUUGAGUUAGAAAAUUAUUUAUUAGUUAAAGUCAACUGGGAAGUUGCGCCAUAGAGAGUGAUAGCCUCGUAAACGACAAUAAAUAAUCUCAAGUAAGUAUCCCGAGUAAGGCGGGGCACGUGAAACCCUGUCUGAAUCCACCGGGACCAUCCGGUAAGGCUAAAUACUAGUCAGUGACCGAUAGUGAACGAGUACAGUGAUGGAAAGGCGAAAAGAACAGUGAGAAGCUGAGUGAAAUAGACCCUGAAACCGUUAGCUUACAACCAGUCAGAGCACAAUUAAUUGUGUGAUGGCGUGCCUGUUGAAGAAUGAGCCGGCGAGUUAUUUUUUGUUGCGAGGUUAAGGAGAUCAUAUCCGGAGCCACAGGGAAACCGAGUCUGAAUAGGGCGUUAAGUAACAGGAAAUAGACCCGAACCUUGGUGAUCUAACCUUGACCAGGAUGAAGCGUGGGUAACACUACGUGGAGGUCCGAACCAACCGAUGUUGAAAAAUCGGUGGAUGAGUUGAGGUUAGGGGUGAAAUGCCAAUCGAACCAAGAGCUAGCUGGUUCUCCCCGAAAUGCGUUUAGGCACAGCGUUGGAUUUAUCUUGCAGGAGGUAGAGCACUGGUUUUGUGCGGGCGUCGAAAUGAUGUACCAAACAAUGUCAAACUCCGAAUACCUGUAAUGUCAUUAUCCAGCAGUGAGGCUAUGAGUGAUAAGAUCCAUGGCCAAGAGGGAAACAGCCCAGAACGCCAGUUAAGGUCCCUAAUAUAUGCUAAGUGGUUAAGGAGGUAGAGUUACUGAGACAACCAGGAGGUUGGCUUAGAAGCAGCCAUCCCUUGAAAGAGUGCGUAAUAGCUCACUGGUCAAGUGACUCCGCGCCGAAAAUACACCGGGACUAAAGCAUAUAACCGAAGCUGCGUCAUAUAGUUUACUAUAUGGGUAGGGGAGCGUACUGUAGUAAGACGAAGCUAGAGUGAAAACACUAGUGGAUGAGGCAGUAGUGAGAAUGUCGGCAUAAGUAGCGAAAACAUUGGUGAGAAUCCAAUGCACCGAAAACCUAAGGUUUCCCACGGCAGGCUCGUCCGCGUGGGGUUAGUCGGAUCCUAAGCUCAGGCCAAACGGCGUAGGCGAUGGACAAUAGGUUGAUAUUCCUAUACUAUCUGAUAAUCGUUAUCAGAAGCGGAGGGACGCAAGAGGAUAAGCACGCAGUCGAAUGGAAGAGACUGUAUAAGCGUGUAGCUAGGUUUGACAGGAAAAUCCGUCAAAUCGUUAAUGUGAGGCGUGAUGUGGAGAGUCUACGGACUCGAAGGUGUUGACUCCAAAUUGCCAAGAAAAUCUUCGCUCUCGAGAUUAUUGGGUAUCCGUACCGUAAACCGCCACAGGUAGGUUGGUAGAAAAUACUAAGGUGCGCGAGACAACUCUCGCUAAGGAACUCGGCAAAAUCACCUCGUAACUUCGGGAGAAGAGGUACCCUGGUAGCGUGAAGCGAUUUACUCGUGAAGCGUGAUAGGGUCGCAGUGAAUAGGCCCAAGCGACUGUUUACCAAAAACACAGGUCUCUGCUAAGUCGAUCAAGACGAUGUAUAGGGGCUGACGCCUGCCCGGUGUCGGAAGGUUACGCGGAAAUGUUAGAAGCAAUUCAAAGCAUCGAAGCUAAGCCCCGAUGAACGGCGGCCGUAACUAUAACGGUCCUAAGGUAGCGAAAUUCCUUGUCAGGUAAGUUCUGACCCGCACGAAUGGCGUAA
RNAcentral lists this ribosomal RNA (2076 nucleotides) under human gut metagenome. RNAcentral describes it as "bacterial LSU rRNA". It matches the Rfam family "Bacterial large subunit ribosomal RNA", at positions 1 to 2004 of the family's 2925-position model. The record is from RNAcentral.